This is a long non-coding RNA of Hemicordylus capensis (graceful crag lizard), 1056 nucleotides long. RefSeq lists it as uncharacterized. The transcript is spliced from 3 exons. NCBI's taxonomy places the organism in Eukaryota, Metazoa, Chordata, Lepidosauria, Squamata, Cordylidae. The record is from RefSeq and is a predicted model, not a curated record.
CCAGCCCCAAGCAAGCCAGGAAGGAGGCAGCCAGAGUGGCCACCACAGUUCUCUGCAGCAGACCCUCUGCCCAGGCCAGCCAGCCCAGCCUUUGCCAGCUUGCAGAUCAUCCACAUCCACAGCUAUCAGAGUGGUGUCAUCAACGUAGCUGAUCAUCAACUUUAAAACCAUGCUCAUCUUCUUCCAAUCCAGCUUCUCUCAGUAUAUGUUCAGCAUAUAAAUUGAAUAAAGAAGGAGAAAGUAUACAGUCUUGUGGUAGCAAGUAUGAAUUGUAUCCUUUGCUAAGCAGGGUCCACCCUGGUUUGCAUUUGAAUGGGAGACUACACGUGUGAGCACUGUAAGAUAUUCCCCUUAGAGGAUGGGCAGCUGCAUGCUUGCAUGAAGAAGGUCCAAAGUUCCCUCCCUGGAAUCUCCAGAUAAGUCUGAGAGAGACUCCUGCCUGCAAUACUGCCACACAAUACUGUUUAGUCUACACCGUGUGGUGUGUAGACAAUACUGAGCUAGAGGGACCAAUAAUCCGACUUGGUAUAAGGCAGCUUCCUACGUCCCAAGGGGUGUGUCUCUCCUUUCAGGUUGUGUCCAUAGCCUGCCUAAGCCAGAUGAACACAAUCAGGAGGAAUAACAAACCACGGACAAGCAAGGCCGCAAGUCUGCCCCAAUGACAUGGAGGGCAUCGCUGGGCUCAGAAUAUAUCUCAGCAGCUGCAGGAUGUGUGAUGCUAGGCUGCGCACGGCAUGGGGCCUUAGUGUUCACAUGCCUGCAUCGAUCUCCAUGCGUACUAGAGACAAGAUGCAUCCACCCACUUAGAAAUUCAUCUUCCCUGAGGAAGGAGCUAAACCUUGAACUCUAGCAACUCCCACUACAAAUUUUAAGAAGGCAUUCCCAGAAGGUGAAAAACAGGGACAACAGUUUAGCUGGGUCAAGGACCAGAAAACAGGAAAUAUUCCUGGUAAAGAGGGGCAGUUGAAGCAUAUGAUCUUGAUCCUUUUGUAAAACAAGGACUAAUAUAUAUCCACAGAAUUGUGCAGCACAAUCUGAUGAAGCAUACCAUAUUUC